AAACCCCCAAGCCCGCCCCAGCCGUCAGGCGCCGCAGCUGCCGAGAAAUAAUGUGACAAAAGUUAGCAACUUGCGCGCGCCUCCCGCGUGCGCAACCCGCGGGCAGGGUCUGCCCUCUUCCGAGCGCACGAUCUCCGCGGCGGCGACCCGGGGUGAGGCGCCUAGAAGUGGGUCCAGCCCGCUCAGAACCGGGACGGCGGCGCAGCUUUCCGCUCGGACUUUCUCCAGGCUUGACUAUUUGAGCGUGACCUUGCAGGAGGAAGAGCCCUGAACUUGCGCCGGGGGCUCAGCGCGCCUCCUCGGCCGUCCCAACCGCUGCGGCCCGAGUCUCUGCUUCCUCCUCGUGAAGGUCCCCGCCGCUCCACGCCCACCCCGCGCGGGGCUCGGGGACGCCCAGUGAGGGGUCACGUGAGGGCCCAGAAGCGCGCGAGUGGGGGGACCGGGCCGGCCACAGCUUCCGCCGGCCCAGCCGGCCCCGCGGGACACAACUUGACCCUGAAGGCAGGGACGAACUCGCGGUGUCGCCUUCGCUGGGAUCCCACGCGUGUUUCUGGGGACCCCUCGCCUCUCCCUCGCACGUCCCCUCAGGUCCCCACGCCUAGCCAGUUUGCGCCCAGAUGGUUUCCCCGGAGACAGCGAGCGCUCACCCCCGCCCCGCGGUUGUCUGUGUUGGGAAGAAGAGGGGGACGGAAGGAGGCGCGGAGGAGGAAAACGGCAGUGCCCUGUCGCCGCCGGCGCCCUGGCAGAUUCCACUUCCUUGGCUGGAAACGCCAGUGGCAGGCAGCCGGUAACUCUGAGGACUGUGCCGAGCAAAGGGACGAGUCUGCCUGGGGACCGGGGAUGGACAGCCCCUUGGCCUUCUGAGGUGCUCAAUAGCCACAUGGGACUGGUGGCUACUAUAUGGGCAGAGAGUGCUGGGGAUGUUUCUACCAUCAGGAAACAGUGGAUUGGAAAGAAGUCAUCACCCUGGAAUGUGUCACUUUACCCUGCCUGUCCCUAACCCAGCUCGGAAAUGAUUGCAACCAUUGUGGAAGAAGAAAGAAGGUUGAUGUGAGCACGUGCACGCGCGUGUGUUUGUUUGUGUGUGUGUGUACAACGGUUCUUUUUACAUGAUUAUUGGUGAAGAUCUCUCUUUUUCUCUUUUUUGUGGUGCUGGCUGGUGAUUACACAUAUGAGCUAGGAAAAGUGGCAGUUCACGGGCAGCACCUACCUGUCUGACUGUUGACACUUCACCUCGAGGCCCA
Molecule: long non-coding RNA, 1244 nt
Organism: Heterocephalus glaber (naked mole-rat)
Lineage: Eukaryota; Metazoa; Chordata; Mammalia; Rodentia; Bathyergidae
Source: Ensembl